RNAcentral lists this unclassified non-coding RNA (345 nucleotides) under soil metagenome. RNAcentral's name for it is "partial contains 5.8S ribosomal RNA, internal transcribed spacer 2, and large subunit ribosomal RNA". The stretch from base 1 to 121 matches the Rfam family "5.8S ribosomal RNA", at positions 35 to 154 of the family's 154-position model. The record is from RNAcentral.
GAUGAAGAACGCAGCGAAAUGCGAUAAGUAAUGCGAAUUACAGAAUUUCCGUGAGUCAUCGAAUCUUUGAACGCACAUUGCGCCCACUGGUAUUCCGGUGGGCAUGCCUGUUCGAGCGUCAUUAUCCUCCCUCAAACCCCGGGUUUGGUGUUGGACCCAAGUUGUGUGAACAACUGGUCUCAAAGACAAUGACGGCGUCCGUGGGACCCUCGGUGCAACGAGCUUUUAGGAGCACGCAUCGAGUUGCAAGGACCUUCCGGGCCGGUCUCCUUUACCAUUUUACAAGGUUGACCUCGGAUCAGGUAGGAAUACCCGCUGAACUUAAGCAUAUCAAUAAGCGGAGGA